Molecule: non-coding RNA, 417 nt
Organism: Cinara cedri
Lineage: Eukaryota; Metazoa; Arthropoda; Insecta; Hemiptera; Aphididae
Source: the annotation of a GenBank genome assembly
ACACACUCCAACCAAGGAAUAAUUACACACGUUUGUUACUAAUGUAUGAAAUACAAACGCAAAUAGGGCACUAUGUGGUUAUUUAAACGGUAAAAAAUCGUAUUCGCAUUACUCGCUGAGAAUUGUAAUUUAUAACUCGUCGACUAUAAUUGGUGCUUGAAGUAUAUUAGCCAAACGGUAUAAAAUCGAGAUGGAUAGACGUAGGUGGAUAGGUGUACUCUUUCAGCGAUUUUCGUCUGGAAAAUACUUUUUAAAACGAAUAAAAAAAUAAGGACGGACAUACUUCACACGUGGGUGCAGCCACUGAUUUAGGUGGCAAGUUAGGAAGGUUAGAUACAGACGGGAAUUUAAUGUACAUUUGUAAGCAACGAUAAACCAUUGUUAAGGAAAAAACGAUUCUGAGCGGAGUUCAGUUGA